This 380-nucleotide ribosomal RNA is filed under the name uncultured eukaryote. RNAcentral's name for it is "partial 18S ribosomal RNA". It matches the Rfam family "Eukaryotic small subunit ribosomal RNA", at positions 592 to 976 of the family's 1831-position model. The record is from RNAcentral.
CAAUAGCGUAUAUUAAAGUUGUUGCGGUUAAAAAGCUCGUAGUUGGAUUUCUGUUGGGAACGACCGGUCCGCCCAUUGGGUGUGUAUCUGGCUUGUUCUCGGCAUCUUCUUGGUGAACGUUGCUGCACUUGACUGUGUGGAGCGCUACCCAGGACUUUUACUUUGAGGAAAUUAGAGUGUUUCAAGCAGGCAUAUGCCUUGAAUACAUUAGCAUGGAAUAAUAAGAUAGGACCUCGGUUCUAUUUUGUUGGUUUCUAGAGCUGAGGUAAUGAUUAAUAGGAACAGUUGGGGGCAUUCGUAUUCAACAGCUAGAGGUGAAAUUCUUAGAUUUGUUGAAGACGAACUACAGCGAAAGCAUUUGCCAAGGAUGUUUUCAUUAA